AGCUACAUAUGUGAAGUUUUUGAUGUUCCACUUGAUAUCAUCGAGUCCGAGACACAGAAAUGUGUCCGCGCAGUCGAAUGUAUGCCAGAAUGUGUCAGACUUGGCUACUUCCUUUACUAGAGUAAACAAUCAAAACGUUAUUUGGUUCGAAUAAGAAUAAUUUCUUGCAUUAGAGGCAUUGGAUAGAAUGAACACCUCUUGGACAGAAUGCGAGGGAUACUGUUGGGGGAUUCUGGGCCUUCUUCUCUUUAACACAUUGAUUUGUGGCCUUAUAGCCCCAUAAAACUCCAUAAGGUGCUGCCAAAGCUACCAAUCUAAUCGGAAGUGUACUUGUCCCUUCAACCUCAGAAGACCCUUCUGUCAUUUUUACAACUUAAUGAACAAAUAAGAGAAAGUAGUUCAGAUAUGAACAGCUGGCCUAAUUCCCUCACUGAAAAAUAAAUAAUAAACAAAGUAGGCCUAAACCCUUGAACAGGACAAAGGAUUUCGUCUUAUUCUCUUUCCAUACCAGAUCAUUUUGUCAUAGUUUUUACAUACAGUUCUACAGGGCGAAGACAUAAAUGUAUCUAAUGGUUGAACAAUAAAGAUGGUUUAGUUAACAAGAUCAUCAGUGUGUCAGGUUAAUGCUGUCAGCACAUCAUCAGCACAGGCCUAUAUCUUUUCUGUGCUCGCAACAUAAUGCUUUUCAUUCAAAAUUCGUCUUUAUUGUACUAUAUCCAUCCCUGAAUCAUCCUGCUGACCCAAGCACCAAAAACAUGGUGCCCCAUAAAUAGCCUAUGCAUCACUUGGAGGUAAGGCCUACCUACUGGUCUUAAUGAGCGUAUGCUGCCAAGAGAGAGAGAGAGAGAGAGAGAGAGAGAGAGAGAGAGAGUACAAUGGCGACAACUGAAUGUGUAUUUGGAAUCAUCUUUGGUUCCUUAUCCGGGGACUACCUCUCACACUGCUAUUGGGCCACUGCGUCACGUGGUAAAAGUAACUUUACAGGGUUGCUCGCUAGUAGGAGGGCUUUAUGGAGCAGAAAAACGACAAAGCUAGAAAAAUUAUUUUUCACUCCAGAAAUUAAUGAUCAUGAGCUCGUAUUUGAUGGACUCUAACUACAUCGAUCCGAAAUUUCCUCCAUGUGAGGAAUAUUCGCAAAAUAGCUACAUCCCAGACCAUAGUCCCGAAUAUUACAACCGCGCGAGGGACACUGGCUACCAGCAUCAUCACCAGGAGUUAUAUCCUCCACGGUCAAGCUACCAGGAGCGACAGUAUAGCUGCCCAAGCAUCCCUGAGCCCGAGACCCAAAGAGGACAUGGACUACCACUCUCUGGGCACCUGCUCGCAGGGAAGGGGCAACCUGCCUCAUGUGAACCCCAGUUACCUAUGUCCCCAUCCACACCACCGGCUGCCUCUGCCGCCUGCAACCAAGCCACACCGGAGCAUCCAAACAGCACAGCCUCUGCCAAGCAGCCCGUAGUAUACCCAUGGAUGAAGAAAAUUCACGUCAGCACUGCGAAUCCCAAUUACAAUGGAGCGGAAGCCAAGCGGUCUAGAACUGCUUACACCCGCCAGCAGGUUUUAGAAUUGGAGAAGGAAUUCCACUAUAAUCGCUACUUAACACGACGAAGGCGCAUCGAGAUUGCUCACACCCUGGUUCUCUCCGAACGGCAAAUCAAAAUUUGGUUUCAGAACCGCAGAAUGAAGUGGAAGAAAGACCAUAGGCUGCCCAACACCAAAGUCAGAUCGUCCUCUUCCACAGGCAUAUCCAGCGGGUCCAGCACAACCUCUGCAGUCAGCGUUGUUGGAGCAACCUCGGCUCCAAGCACCAUGUCAACUACCGAUGAACUCUCCGGAACUGACCGUGGCGAGGAUAUUACAAGGUUAUAAAAACAAUUUCACGAAGCAGAAAGAAAUGACUGAUAAUUUAUAGAAUAUAAUAUAUUUUGUUUUCGUAGUUAUCUUGUGCGUAAAAAGGGAUUUCCAUGUAGUCCACAAUUACAUGAAAUGCAUGUUAUCUAGCAUGGAUCAAUGCGAACACCACUGGAUUUUUUACGCGAUACAGGGUUUAAUUUAUUUAAAACGGAGGCAAAAUGUUUUGUAUGAAAAUGCUGUUCUGGAUGAAGCAGUAAAUGGACAAUAUAUCUAAGUAUUAUUGUGGGCCACAGCCUGCUCACUGCUGCCAAGGUGAAGUGCACAAUUGUUCUAUUUAUUUCAUAUCUAGGAUUGGAGGACAUUCCUUUUUGUAUUUACAUGCUACCGCCGAGAAUAUAAAACGCUGAUCUUGAAAGUAGCUUAUUUGUUUAUCGGAAAAAUAUCUGAAAUACUGUGUUGCUCAGCGUAUAAAAAAAUUAAAUUAUUAUUUGGUUAUGUGGUGAUGUUGUGUUUAGGCUAUUAAAGCAGAUCAUUGUGAGAUGCAAUAAAAUCCAGUUUAGUGUUGUGAUAAUCAUAUUGGUCAAUAAAACGUGAGUGUCUAUUAGUUUAAAAAAAUGCUUGAGUGAAUAUCAUCCAUGUUUAAUUUAGGCCAAAUGUCCAUUUUGUGAAUAAACCUUGACUGAUCAAGUACUGAAACCAAUGUGUUUGGAAGGUGUGCAGCUCAAAUAUGGCCAUAGUAAGGGUAAAUGUAAUGUUUAAAUAAAUAUACUAAUUAAUAAUAUUGCUCUCCUGGAUUGGCCUAGACCACCCCAUGUAUGGUUCAUACAGGCACUGAAUGAUAGCAAAAGUAAAUAUCUAGGAUGAAUUACUUGUUAAUGAGAAAUUAGCUGUGUCUCUUUUUGCCAUAGCAAUAGCUAGCCUAGUUGUGGUUCUGUACUGGUCAUCACUUUCGCAUUCGAUUAGAAUAAAUAGUCUGAGCUCUUCCUUUGAGAUCUUAUCAGGACUGACUGCAAUGGACAGUUCCUAGCUCAAUAUGAAAUUGGACCUUCCUCACAAUGUCUUUGAAAAUCAAUGCCACUUGUAAAAAGGGAGACCUUUUGUUUAAAGAUGUAUUGUUUUCUAUUUUCACUUCUGUCAGACUGUGCAGACGUUGACUUACCAUCAGCAAAACCCAUCAAGAUUUUUGCAAGGAUAUUAAGCAUUGGCCUACUCUCACAGCCUUUUAAAAAGUGGCGCUGGUCAGUGUUCCAUACGACGUCAUGACGUCCUCAUCCGGAGUGUGUUAUCCAGAGGAAUCCAUGAACCCCAGUAUCCCCAAAGGCUAGAAUGAGUCAUGUGAGGAAUACAAAACUGCCUGGUAUGCCGGGAAAGACUCUUUGUCCGACUCCAAGUUGUCGGACAGCUGACAACUCAAGCAUCAUUUGCCUCGUGCUGCCAUUGGAGGAAACUUCCACGUGACAUA
RNA transcript from Alosa alosa (allis shad), 3316 nucleotides. It is a transcript of the gene named homeobox protein Hox-C4a-like, with no coding region annotated. NCBI's taxonomy places the organism in Eukaryota, Metazoa, Chordata, Actinopteri, Clupeiformes, Clupeidae. The transcript is spliced from 4 exons. The record is from RefSeq and is a predicted model, not a curated record.